RNAcentral lists this ribosomal RNA (751 nucleotides) under uncultured archaeon. RNAcentral describes it as "bacterial SSU rRNA". It matches the Rfam family "Archaeal small subunit ribosomal RNA", at positions 102 to 856 of the family's 1478-position model. The record is from RNAcentral.
CGAUAAUCUAACUUAUGGUCUGGGAUAACCUUGGGAAACUGAGGCUAAACCCGGAUAGGGAAUUGAUGCUGGAACGCACUUUUCUUUAAAAGCAAUGCCAUAAGAUGAGUCGGCGGCUGAUUAGGCUGAUGGUGAGGUAAUGGCUCACCAUACCAAAGAUCAGUAGGGGGAGUGAGAGCUCUAGCCCCGAGAAGGACACUGAGAUAAGGGUCCUAGUCCUAAGGGAUGCAGCAGUCGCGAAAACUUUACAAUGCACGAAAGUGUGAUAAGGGAAUUCCAAGUGCUUUAUCUUCGGAUAAUGCUUUUGCCAAGUUCAAACAGCUUGGCGAAUAAGUGGUGGGCAAGACCGGUGCCAGCCGCCGCGGUAACACCGGCGCCACGAGUGGGGAUCAUAUUUAUUGGGUCUAAAGCAUCCGUAGCCGGUUUAGCAACUCUUUUGUGAAAUCGUUUCGCUUAACGUAACGACGUGCAAAAGAAACUGCUAGACUAGGAACCGGGAGAGGUUAGAGGUAUUCUGGGGGGAGCGGUAAAAUGUGAUAAUCCUCAGAGGACCACCAAUGGUGUAGGCAUCUAACUAGAACGGGUUCGACGGUGAGGGAUGAAGGCUAGGGGAGCGAUCCGGAUUAGAUACCCGAGUAGUCCUAGCAGUAAACGCUGUGAGUUAGGUGUUACAUAUUCUUAGGGAAUAUGUAGUGCCGAAGCGAAGGCAUUAAACUCACCACCUGGGAAGUACAGUCGCAAGACCGAAACU